RNAcentral lists this ribosomal RNA (253 nucleotides) under uncultured bacterium. Its description in RNAcentral is "partial 16S ribosomal RNA". It matches the Rfam family "Bacterial small subunit ribosomal RNA", at positions 524 to 776 of the family's 1533-position model. The record is from RNAcentral.
GACGGAGGGCGCAAACGUUGUUCGGAAUCACUGGGCGUAAAGGGCGCGUAGGCGGGACAGUAAGUCAGACGUGAAAUCCCGGGGCUCAACUCCGGGACUGCGUUUGAAACUGCUAUCCUUGAGUGCAGGAGAGGAAGGCGGAAUUCCAGGUGUAGCGGUGGAAUGCGUAGAUAUCUGGAAGAACACCAGUGGCGAAGGCGGCCUUCUGGACUGACACUGACGCUGAGGCGCGAAAGCUAGGGGAGCAAACAGG